RNAcentral lists this long non-coding RNA (691 nucleotides) under Rattus norvegicus (Norway rat). RNAcentral's name for it is "long non-coding RNA NONRATT010521". The record is from RNAcentral. Lineage: Eukaryota; Metazoa; Chordata; Mammalia; Rodentia; Muridae.
GUAAUACUAGACGGCGGUGAAAGGAAAGAGAGGCUGAAAGCUGGUUGACGGAAAGGAGUAUCUGCGAAUCAGAACAGAAGCUACUGGCAAAGGGCCGCUCUAAGCGUUACUGAGCAGGCGCACGUCGGAGUGUAGGAGUGCUUAUUUGCAUAAAGAGAAGGAAGAGGCGGGACGCCAAAGUCCCAUAUACCAGUCAACUCCUCGCUGGGCUUUAGCUCCUCCUACUACACCCACCCACCGAGAUGGAUACGAGUUCACACAACAAGCCUCUCUCUGAAUCCAAGGAGUGUGUCCGUCAUAAUUCUGAAAAUGACUUUUUUAUCUUGGGUACCGGGCCGCUUGUGACCCCUCAGAAGCAUGCAGCAGACAUGACUCCUAAUCUUUGCACCCCUGAUACCUUUAAGUCACCUUUGGACUUCUCCACAGUAACCGUAGAGCAGUUGGGAAUUACACCUGAAAGCUUUGUUAAGACCCCUUCAGGAAAGUCAUCAUCUUCCCUUCAGAAGAACAGACGCCGUUCUACGGUUGGUGUGCGGGGCUCUCCAGAAACAAACUGUUUGAUCCGCUUCAUAGCUCAGCAGCGAAGCCUGAAGAAGGCUGUAAGGUCUCCAAUGGCCCGCGAUCCCUACUUAGAGGGUAGCCCAAGACUGUAUCGAAAUGCCAGUGUUUUAAGAGAGCGAAUGUCUGCUUU